Long non-coding RNA from Astatotilapia calliptera (eastern happy), 1918 nucleotides. The record is from Ensembl. Lineage: Eukaryota; Metazoa; Chordata; Actinopteri; Cichliformes; Cichlidae.
CCAGAAUAUUCCAGCCAUUUUUCACUCACUUACCAACAUCUUCCGUUUUAAUGCUCGUUAUGAAUGUUUGUAGAUCCUUUCCACUCAUCACUGUGGAGCUUUAUCUUCAUGCACCAGAGUACCUUCAAAAUAAAUACAUUAAUUAUUGCGCUGCAAACACAUGCACAGCUUUGUUGCCUACAAAAAAAAAAGUUUGGUGUGACAUUGUUUAAAAUGCUAGUUAACAUCAACAAGUUUUAGUGUACUGCAGCCAGUGUGUGUGUGAUAUACUGCUGGAAUGUUUUUUUUUUCUUUUUUGCCUUUGUUUUGGAUUAAGCUUGGAAAGAUUUUCGCACAGGAUUCAUCUCCUUUCAAAUGCAUGGUGUGUGAAGAGAUGGGAUGAACUAUGCAGGAAUUAAUUUUUUUAUGAUAGGAGGGAAAACAGAUGCGCUGUUCUGAAUCCUUUUCUAUUUUUUGCCCAUGUCUCCAUUACAUAUAGACUUAAAUACCAAUUUUAAGGACAGCAAAAUUAUUAUUUUUUCCAUUUCAACACCAAAUGGCAAGCCAAGGUUAGGAUUCAAGACAUAGGUCAUUCUAGAAAUGUCAAUUUUUCUGUCCCUGGCUUUUACUACACUUAAAAACCACUUUAUUUACAAUUUAUUUCCAUGUUAAAUUUGAAUAUUUUUUCCUUCCUCAUCCAUUAAAUUCACAAUAUCUGUUUUUUUAAUUAAAUUAUAUAGAAGAACAGGCACCACCACAGCGUUUGUCCCCACAGUGGAGUAUGGUGGGUAAAGGCUGUGUUUUUUUUGUUAUAUGUUUUGCAUAUAAGUUUUUGCAUCAAAUCAAUCAGAUAUGUUAAAAAUAUGAUGACUGUGACAAAAUGAAGCAAAAUGUGAAAUAAAUAUUGUAAGAUAUAUAAAGACAGUCAUGGUCCCUUAAAACUGUGUCACUGGUGUUAUGAGAAACGUUUAUUAUUUUGAAACAAAACAUCCCAAUAAUGACAUCACUUGACUUACUAUCACAGAUUUCCUGAAGCACUAUAAAGAAAUGGUCAUGAUGAGACCAGUGUCUCUUUUCAUUUAUCAGAUUUUUUUCUGUUUUAUCUUGUAAUUUCAUAAGAAGCUUUUAGCUGAAGUCACUAAUACGACACAGUUAGGAAAUUGUUAAAGAAAAACAAAAACAAAACAACAGAAUAUAAAUAGAUUAAAUGACAUAAUUUGCUGAGUAUAAGAUGACUGACAUCAUGUGUGCGCAUAGUAAAGCGCUAUAUAAAUACAGGCCAUUUACCAUUUACCAUGUGGUUUGAUGCUUGCAGCAUCUAUUUUGUAAAAAGCAUUUUCCAUGAAAACUGUCACUGCUGUUACCUUCCUUAUGGGUAACAUUAGACCCCUGAGAUAAUAAUUUUACAUCCACUGAAAUUUGGUACAGGUACAGGUUAAGAUAUAAAGAAUGGCAUUGUCACUCAUUUUAAGUGUUCUUUAUAUGCUUUCAUUUGAUUUUAUUGCUAAUAAAUGGCUUUGCAAAUAUCAUACAUUGACGCUUUGAACAAACGCUUUGAAAUAAUAAAAUAUUAUCUUAUGAUUUUUGCAUUAUCAUUGCAUUAUUCUAAAUAAUAAUUAAUAGAAGCCCCCCAAAUUUGCAUAAUGAGUAAGAUAACACCAGUGACGAAAAGGUGGCACGUGGGGUAAAUGUACAAAAGAAAUAUUUUUUUAAAAAUCAUUAGGUUGUCUUUUUUUUUUUUUUUUUGCUGUUAAAACUAUGGCCAUACAACUAACCUAAAUAUUUUCCAAGCCAAGCUCUGUUAAUUUACUUUACCGACUUUUACCAAUUGUUAUAUUACUUAAUUAAACUAGAAAACGCUUAACUUUAUCAUUGUCAUAGCUGCUACUGCUAUAGUUUAGCGACAGUACUUAGGUAGAACUUAUGCUCAACCUCACAA